UCGGGAAUUUUGGGCAAUGGGCGCAAGCCUGAUCCAGCCAUGCCGCGUGAGUGACGAAGGCCUUAGGGUUGUAAAGCUCUUUUGGCGGGGAAGAUAAUGACGGUACCCGCAGAAUAAGCUCCGGCUAACUUCGUGCCAGCAGCCGCGGUAAUACGAAGGGAGCUAGCGUUGUUCGGAAUCACUGGGCGUAAAGCGCACGUAGGUGGACAUUUAAGUCAGGGGUGAAAGCCCGAGGCUCAACCUCGGAAUUGCCUCUGAUACUGGGUGUCUAGAGUUCGAGAGAGGUGAGUGGAAUUCCUAGUGUAGAGGUGAAAUUCGUAGAUAUUAGGAAGAACACCGGUGGCGAAGGCGGCUCACUGGCUCGAUACUGACACUGAGGUGCGAAAGCGUGGGGAGCAAACAGGAUUAGAUACCCAUGUAGUCCCUGAGCGGGCUGGCAAGGCGCAU
RNAcentral lists this ribosomal RNA (447 nucleotides) under uncultured bacterium. RNAcentral describes it as "bacterial SSU rRNA". It matches the Rfam family "Bacterial small subunit ribosomal RNA", at positions 355 to 825 of the family's 1533-position model. The record is from RNAcentral.